UGAAAUCCUUUGGAAUCUUGGCAGAUGGACCCAAUCCAUAAGUCCAGCCAUCAACUGAUUAAGUUUUAGUCUGCCUGUCCGUCUUCUGCCUGUCUGUCUUGUUGGCUCCUCGAAGUAAAUCCCUGCUUUUUCUCCCUCCCCCUCCCCCCCAACCCUUUUUCCUCUUGAGAUCCACCUUCCUCUCUGGUCUGAACUCUCUUCCUCACAGGGCAGCGCUGUCUAAUGAGAGAGCUGUCCCUCUAGGCUGCAGACGAUCGGUCGGUCACCUCUGUGCAUUCUCACACUUCGGCUGCUGGAGGUCAGCCAGCCCCUCCUCGGACUUGGCCGGUUACUCCGGCCUCUCGUCCCAACAGCACUCUGCUGAGACUUAACUUCCUAAACCCGAGGCUCCUCAAGUCCCUUCCCCGCAUGGCCACAAACACAUUUUAUCCUAAUGCAGUUGAAGCCCUCACCACAUCUGGCUUUGACUUCUUGGUUUUCCUGCGGCUUGGUUUUCCGUGUGCUCAGUGCGCCCCCUGUCCUGGGCAGUCAAGGCUCUGCUCUCUGUUGAGGUAUUUAUUCCUCUGGCCUUCUCGUUGCAAAGAGAGGCCUGGCUUGCGUUCUAUAUUCUCCUGGUCCUGGUGCGUUCUCAGUGUAGGGUGUGGCCAUUUUGCCUGUGUCAGGAUUAUAGUUUGAACCCCCGCUUCCAUUCAUUAGAGGUGGUUUUGUUCUUGUUUUCUUUCGAAAGACCGUAGGACUUUUAAAUGCCAUUUAAUGCUCUGUAGUAAGUCCUCGGGUAGACCCUUCUUAGAUUUUUCUUGAAGCUUUGCUUUGAGAAUCUUAAUCGUGAGUCUGCAGAUCAGGCUACUAGCGAGCACAACCAUGUGGUUGCUGGGAAUUGAACUUAGGAUCUCUAGGAAGAGCAGUCGGUGCUCUUAACCUCUGAACCGUCUCCCCAGCCUGGGACUUAUUUUUAACAUUUCAGUGAUAAUACAUCUCUGCACCCACAGCUACCCACUGCAGUGAGUCUCUGACCAGGUUGGGGAACAGCACAAAUCUACAGGUGUAAAUAGAAUGAUCUAGAGGACAGUUGGAUAACAUGAACAUUUGGAUGUGUAAAGAAGCGCUACUGUUUUGGAAACUAAUUAGAAAUACAGGUAUUUUUUUCUUUUUUUAAUGAAGUUUCAAUAGAAGUAGCCCACAUUUAGUGCUCCUCCCAGAAGACAUGGGCUAUCAAGUGAAACUCUCAGCGGCAGGCACAGGUUGUUAAGGUCCCAGAGAUAACCAGAACCAGUCAGGCUUUUUCCAUUGCUCUUGGCUGCCCACCCCUCAGUAGAUGGUAAGACUCUGUUGCUGAAAACAUCAUCCUCUUUGGUGGCACGACACUGAGAAAUCAAUCUGGAAUUGACCAGGAAACUCAUUGCUGGGUAGCUUUCAUAGUUCUAGAAGGCUCCAUACGGGCAUCUGGUCUUACCCAGUGCUGGGCCAGGCACGCUGCAAAACUGACUUCCCAGGCAAGACGUGCUCACUGUGCAAUAGUGGUGUGACUCUGAGGAGAAGCUUGGGUCUGACAUCUGUUCCCCAGGAGGGAAUUCAUCCCCGAUGCUGGGAACAGGGUUGCUUGUUUUGUUGCUUUCUUUCAAUGGUGAGAGGAUGAUGUGCUGUUGACUUGUUACCACGUGGAGUCAUAAAAGCUGCCUGGUGAUAAGAUGUGGGAAGGCCAGUUUACUCUCGAGUGACCUGUCUGAGCUCUCCUGAAUUCCAUCCAGUCUCAAGCUAAGGAACAAGGCCUUGGGAGAGACUUCCUCACCCUUCCCUGCACGUGCACCUGCGUUUCUUCUUUCUUACACUGAGGGGGUCGGUGGCUGAGAGUGAAGGAAUAUGUGUCCCCACUCCUCUCUUAGCUGUCCCCUCCCUUCAGCUGCACAGAUGCUCCAACCCCUUAAAAGGGACCGACUUCCCACGCUUGAUGAACAAAGCAGCGGUUCUGGUUUGUUGCGGGCCCCGCCCUGCCAGAGUUCACCGGGACUGGACUGUCCUGCAAAGGAGAGAUUCGUAUGGUGGCCCAGAUCCCUUUUGCUAUUUUUACCUUCUGUUUUGGGUUUUGUUUUCCGUGUUCUGGGAAUCAGCCAAGCAAACCUGGAGGUUGCAGGACACAUUCGGAAACAUAAGGUUACAUUGUUGCCUCACUUGAUCUUGAAAUCUUUAGCUAAAGAUGAUUCCUCUAACUGGAAUAUCCCAAGGGACUGGUUUAAAGUUUGCCCCCUCCUUGGCUUUUUUUGUUCACUGGACGGCUCUUGUAGCUGAGGGGCAUCCAUCCAUCCCCCAGGAGUGGGAGAGGGCCUGGGGUUCGGGAAGCCCUUUCUUACCCUUCUAGGAUUCAUCCUUCAUUUCACGCUGGCUCACUUUUGUUCUUACCUCUAGACUCCCUUCUGUUUUCCUUCUCCCCUUUCCCUCUUUUCUUGCUCUUUCUCUCUUCUGACUCUGCUCCUUACGUUUCUGGCCAAAUAUGUUUCUGGGAGCCCAUGAUUUGUUGCAUGUUUGGGGGCUGUCCUGUUCUCAGCUUGAUGGAAAUUUGGCAUUCGUGUAAAAUCGGUUCCCUUACAUCUAGGUCUUUGUGUGAAAUCCACACUUAGGAAGAGUAGGGCUUUAGAUAGAUAGAUUUGUUCUUGUACCAGUUAGAGUCUCAUUAACUGAUCUCUCUCUCUCUCUCUCUCUCUCUCUCUCUCUCUCUCUCUCUCCCCGUGUGUGUGUGUGUGUGUGUGUGUGUGUGUGUGUGUGUGUGUGUGUGUGUGCGUGUGCCCGCACACCAUCACCUCAAGUGCUUUCCCUGUUGUAAAAUAAAAGACAGGUCCCGGAAGAGCACUCUCUUUCAGCGUGGUUCAUUUACAGUGAAGUCAGUCUCCUUGGCUCCUGUGUAUCAAGGUGUGUUUCCCCUUCUCUCUGGGCCUUGGACACAAUCCCGGGAAAAGCCCAGGAAAUCAUUUCUGUGACCCUGUCUCCCGCCUUCCAUGAAACGUACCACAACCCUUGUACUAUGAGCCUAAAUGGAGAAUAUCAAAAGUGAACACAAAAACCCCACAUACACCCACCCGACCUGUGAUACAGACUAAAGGUAAAAAAGUGGGGAUUCUUUUCUCCAUUAUGGUGAAGCCAUCUGGGGAAAGAACGUAGGUUUUCAGUAGAAACAAAGUCUCAGAUGGGAGAAGGGCCAGUGGCACCUCCCCGACCCGCGCCUUAAAUUCUAGAUUUUUGUUUAGGAUUAAAGAGGAAGAAAAGACACAUCGACCAACCCCACUUUGAAUUUAUAAACCUGGCCUUCCAGUUUACUGCUUGCCACCAGUUCCCAGAGGCUCCACCAAGAGUAAUAAAUGAUAUGUGUUGUGUCAUCUGGGGGUUCUUGAUGGUUUCAGAGAGAGAGAGAGAGAGAGACAGAGAGAUUAUAUGGGGCUUGCUAUUUAAUUGAAUUAGAAAAUAGGUCUGUAAGUAAACAGAACCAGGACAUAGUGUCCUGACUGUGCUCCGCGGUCUCUUGGAGUGCCCAGGGCGCUGAGAGAGUGGCAUGAUGGGAAGGUGCUGCUAUUCCAGCGGAAAAUGCUUGCGUCCUGGGAUCCCCUACGGGGGUUUCCAGGUAAGGAGACGCGUCAAACUCGCGCCAGGAAGCCAUCUACAGGGAGAACCCGGCUGACUAAAGUUCAGUAGCAGAUUCCACACAGGGCUCUAGAAACUGUCUGGCUCCUUUAGAGUCUUCUGCAAAGGAAAAGAAAAUGGAGUUUGUGGGAGGGUGGGAGUAAACUGUGUUUAUCAGCUGGGUCAGCUUCUAAGCUUCUUUGACCUUGAUGGCAAACACGUUUUCCCUGUCUGCCAGUGCCCUGUGUGGACAUAGGGUAACCGGUAACUUUUCAGUGCCGUAUAAUCUGUAAACAUGUAUAAAUCAGGGCACCGCGGUGGUCAGCCACUGCCCAUACAGUUGAAGUUCUCAUGCGGUUAUAGGUGCAUCAUAAAAUGAGGAGAUUGGUUUUAAAAUCUAUCCCAGAAAUGUCUUUAUUUUCUGUGCUUAAGACCAGAGAGUCUGGUAAGUCUUGGCUUCAGUUAACACUGCUGCCUUUAAUCUAAGAUGUCAGUGACUUAUUCUCACUGUGGCUACAGAAGGACAGAUUUUUUUUUUUUCCCUUUUUGGUUUAGUUCCUGAUUUUUUCAGACUGGUUACCCAAUCGCUUUAAAGGACGUUUAGUAUGAACAAUGAGCCUUUGGACCACAAAGUUCCUUAUGUGCUUACAAUAAAACUACAUUAUGGAAUGUUAUCAGUGACUAUUGCUUCUUUCUCUCUUUUUUUUCUUUCUUUUCUUUUCUCACAGAGAAACCACUAUGAUAUACAUUUCGUGGAUUCAAAACCCAGACUUU
This 4383-nucleotide long non-coding RNA is filed under the name Mus musculus (house mouse). RNAcentral's name for it is "long non-coding RNA chr13:113871761-113876144". The record is from RNAcentral. Lineage: Eukaryota; Metazoa; Chordata; Mammalia; Rodentia; Muridae.